Salmo salar (Atlantic salmon) is the source of this 54-nucleotide non-coding RNA. NCBI's taxonomy places the organism in Eukaryota, Metazoa, Chordata, Actinopteri, Salmoniformes, Salmonidae. The record is from Rfam.
UGUAUUCACUACUGUAAGUCGCUCUAGAUAAGAGCAUCUGCUAAAUGACUAAAA